GUACGUACGCUGUUAUUUAGUUCAGUGUUUAAUUAUGUUUUUACUGCAUCUUGUUACUAUUAUGAUAGGGUUGUUCAUGCUAGUUCUAGUCAAGUUCAUGAUCUAUUUAUUUCGAAAUUUAAUCGGACAAUUGCCUAAUUAUUCAAUAAUCCAAAAAUCUUAUUAUAUGCAAUCUGUUGAUUUUACUAUGGCUAGUUUUGCUGAUGCACUGAGGCCGCACAAGUUUACCUGUGUGCACUUCAAGAGAUGGCAAGUCAAGGUCCGUCUCUGGCUUACUAUACUGCAUGUAUGGGAAGCAAGACUUGGUACUCCAGCAGGUGAUCAUUCCCUUGAGAAGAGGAGAAAGCUCACGGAUGCCAAUCAUGUUUUUAUGGGAUGUGUGAUUAGUGUUCUGCAUGAUUGUCUGGUUGAUGUGUACAUACACAUAACUGAUGCAAAAGAGCUGUGGGAUGCAUUGGUUGCUAAAUAUGAUGCAACAGAUGCGAGCAGUGAACUGUACAUUAUGGAGAGCUUUCAUGACUACAAGAUGGUGAAUAACCGUUCUGUUGUAGAAUAGGCUCAUGAGGUACAAGUUCUUAUCAAAGAGCUCGAACUCCUGAAAUGUCCUAUACUCGAUAAGUUUGUGGCUGGAUGCAUAAUUGCAAAGCUGCCCUCCUCAUGGAGGAACUUCGCCACUGCUUUGAAACACAAGAGACAGGAGAUAUCAGUUGAAAAUCUAAUAACAUCUCUUGAUGUUGAAGAGAAAGCUCGGUCAAAGAUGCUUCUAAUAAAGGAGGUGAUGGUACUUUUAGCGCCAACAUGGUGCAGAAGAACCACCCACACAGCAAGAACAAAAAGGCUGCCCACAAGCCUGCCAAGACUACUACCUUCAAUAAGAAGAAUACAAAUGUCAAAAGAGCUUGCUUCACGUGCGGUGAAGGGGGAUACUUCGCAAGAGAUUGUCCAAACUGUGCUGAUCGCGAGGCAAAGGCUAAUCAUGGAUCAGGAGGAUCUAAGGACGUCAACAUGACAAUUCUAGGAAGCACUGAGGACGGGCCGCUCAAGGUUCAAGCGUGCUGAUGGGAAACGGGUCACAUGCUUCUGUUCGUGGUGUUGGUACGAUAGAUCUGAAGUUUACUUCGGGGAAGAUCGUGCAGCUGAAGAACGUGUAGCAUAUCCUAACUAUCAACAAAAAUCUAGUGAGCGGCUCCCUUCUAUGCAAGGACGGGUUUAAGGUAGUGUUAGAGUCCAAUAAAUUAGUCGUGUCAAAACAUGGACAAUUCAUUGGUAAAGGCUAUGAUUGCGGAGGCUUGUUCCGCCUUUCCCUUGCAGAUUUUUGUAAUAAGUCAGUGAACCAUAUUUGCGGUGCUGUUAAUGAUGAUGCGAGUGUUUGGCACUCUCGUUUAUAUCA
Long non-coding RNA from Panicum virgatum (switchgrass), 1390 nucleotides. RefSeq lists it as uncharacterized. The transcript has 2 exons. Lineage: Eukaryota; Viridiplantae; Streptophyta; Magnoliopsida; Poales; Poaceae. The record is from RefSeq and is a predicted model, not a curated record.